AUUGAACGCUGGCGGCAGGCCUAACACAUGCAAGUCGAGCGGAUGAAGGGAGCUUGCUCCUGGAUUCAGCGGCGGACGGGUGAGUAAUGCCUAGGAAUCUGCCUGGUAGUGGGGGAUAACGUCCGGAAACGGGCGCUAAUACCGCAUACGUCCUGAGGGAGAAAGUGGGGGAUCUUCGGACCUCACGCUAUCAGAUGAGCCUAGGUCGGAUUAGCUAGUUAGUGGGGUAAAGGCCUACCAAGGCGACGAUCCGUAACUGGUCUGAGAGGAUGAUCAGUCACACUGGAACUGAGACACGGUCCAGACUCCUACGGGAGGCAGCAGUGGGGAAUAUUGGACAAUGGGCGAAGGCCUGAUCCAGCCAUGCCGCGUGUGUGAAGAAGGUCUUCGGAUUGUAAAGCACGUUAAGUUGGGAGGAAGGGCAGUAAGUUAAUACCUUGCUGUUUUGACGUUACCAACAGAAUAAGCACCGGCUAACUUCGUG
RNAcentral lists this ribosomal RNA (484 nucleotides) under uncultured bacterium. Its description in RNAcentral is "partial 16S ribosomal RNA". It matches the Rfam family "Bacterial small subunit ribosomal RNA", at positions 30 to 507 of the family's 1533-position model. The record is from RNAcentral.